GUUGUCCUGAGACGUUGGUGACUGCCAAUAAUGUUUUGUGAUCUAUGCCUGUUUAAAAAGGGAGCCAUAGAGUUUGAGCUGCGGUAGACCGGGCUUGUACCCGGAAACUUUGAAGCUAUCACCGAUGGUGCCCACCUGGUUCAUCCAGGUCAAAAACUGAGGUAAGACGGCGUUGCGGGAUACCU
This 185-nucleotide non-coding RNA is filed under the name Aerosakkonema funiforme FACHB-1375. Its description in RNAcentral is "6S / SsrS RNA". It matches the Rfam family "6S / SsrS RNA". Rfam says of the family: E. coli 6S RNA was the first non coding RNA to be sequenced, but its function was unknown until recently. The record is from Rfam by way of RNAcentral. Lineage: Bacteria; Bacillati; Cyanobacteriota; Cyanophyceae; Aerosakkonematales; Aerosakkonemataceae. RNAcentral also lists the same sequence under 2 other names.